GACGAACGCUGGCGGCGUGCUUAACACAUGCAAGUCGAACGGUGAAGGGGUCUGCUUUUGUGGGCCCUGGAUGAGUGGCGAACGGGUGAGUAACACGUGAGUAACCUGCCCCCUUCUUCUGGAUAACCGCAUGAAAGUGUGGCUAAUACGGGAUAUUCUGGGUCUGUCGCAUGAUGGGUCUGGGAAAGAUUGCGCCUUUGGGUGUUUUUGGUGGGGGAUGGGCUCGCGGCCUAUCAGCUUGUUGGUGGGGUGAUGGCCUACCAAGGCGGUGACGGGUAGCCGGCCUGAGAGGGUGGACGGUCACACUGGGACUGAGACACGGCCCAGACUCCUACGGGAGGCAGCAGUGGGGAAUAUUGCACAAGGGGCGCAAGCCUGAUGCAGCGACGCCGCGUGAGGGAGGGAGGCCUUCGGGUUGUAAACCUCUUUCGCCAGUGAAGCAGGCCUGCUCCUUGUGGGUGGGUUGACGGUAGCUGGAUAAGAAGCGCCGGCUAACUACGUG
This 502-nucleotide ribosomal RNA is filed under the name uncultured bacterium. Its description in RNAcentral is "partial 16S ribosomal RNA". It matches the Rfam family "Bacterial small subunit ribosomal RNA", at positions 28 to 507 of the family's 1533-position model. The record is from RNAcentral.